AAUAUUGUAACAGCAAAACCAACAAAACAGAAUGACCAAAAUUGAAUUUGUAGCUUCAAAAGUGCUUUAAUUGAAUAAGCAUAAUUAAAAUAUGGAAAUAAGGUUUGAAUGCUACAAAGUGAUUACAUAAACGGAUUCUGAGUACAAUAGGUUACAAAUAGUCCAAAUAUACACUUAACCUAAAUACUUAAUUGAUUACAUCCUAACUUAAUAAAAGCUGUUGCAAUUGANNN
RNAcentral lists this long non-coding RNA (233 nucleotides) under Lathyrus oleraceus (garden pea). RNAcentral's name for it is "Pisum sativum (pea) long non-coding RNA (PSAT_LNC013698)". The record is from RNAcentral. Lineage: Eukaryota; Viridiplantae; Streptophyta; Magnoliopsida; Fabales; Fabaceae.